This 369-nucleotide non-coding RNA is filed under the name Lobosporangium transversale. Its description in RNAcentral is "Eukaryotic large subunit ribosomal RNA". It matches the Rfam family "Eukaryotic large subunit ribosomal RNA", at positions 2799 to 3166 of the family's 3401-position model. The record is from Rfam by way of RNAcentral. Lineage: Eukaryota; Fungi; Mortierellomycota; Mortierellomycetes; Mortierellales; Mortierellaceae.
AGAUUUAAAGAAAAACUAUUAGAGGCUAUAAUAAUUGGCUUGUGGCAGCCAAGCGUUCAUAGCGACGUUGGUUUUUGAUCCUUCGAUGUCGGCUCUUCCUAUCAUACUGAAGCAGAAUUCAGUAAGCGUUGGAUUGUUCACCCAUCAAUAGGGAACGUGAGCCGGGUUUAAUGAUGAAAUGUUGUUGCAAUAGUAAUUGAAUAUUGUACGAGAGGAACCGUUCAUUCGGAUAAUUGGUAUUCGGGCCUGCCUGAACAGGCAAUGGCCCAAAGCUAUCACUCGUUGGACUAUGGCUGAACAGUGAGUGAUAUAAAGUGAGGGAAGUGUGGACAGCAAAGUCAAGUGCAGAAAAAAAAGUGGCAUGGAGUG